GAUGAACGCUGGCGGCGUGCCUAAUACAUGCAAGUCGAGCGAACAGACGAGGAGCUUGCUCCUCUGACGUUAGCGGCGGACGGGUGAGUAACACGUGGAUAACCUACCUAUAAGACUGGGAUAACUUCGGGAAACCGGAGCUAAUACCGGAUAAUAUAUUGAACCGCAUGGUUCAAUAGUGAAAGACGGUUUUGCUGUCACUUAUAGAUGGAUCCGCGCCGCAUUAGCUAGUUGGUAAGGUAACGGCUUACCAAGGCAACGAUGCGUAGCCGACCUGAGAGGGUGAUCGGCCACACUGGAACUGAGACACGGUCCAGACUCCUACGGGAGGCAGCAGUAGGGAAUCUUCCGCAAUGGGCGAAAGCCUGACGGAGCAACGCCGCGUGAAUGAUGAAGGUCUUCGGACCGUAAAACUCUGUUAUUAGGGAAGAACAAAUGUGUAAGUAACUAUGCACGUCUUGACGGCACCUAAUCAGAAAGCCACGGCUAACUACGUG
RNAcentral lists this ribosomal RNA (497 nucleotides) under uncultured bacterium. Its description in RNAcentral is "partial 16S ribosomal RNA". It matches the Rfam family "Bacterial small subunit ribosomal RNA", at positions 28 to 507 of the family's 1533-position model. The record is from RNAcentral.